GGGGCUAUGGCGCAGCUGGUAGCGCGCCUCACUGGCAGUGAGGAGGUCAGGGGUUCGAGUCCCCUUAGCUCCA
Molecule: transfer RNA, 73 nt
Filed under: Saccharomonospora marina XMU15
Lineage: Bacteria; Bacillati; Actinomycetota; Actinomycetes; Pseudonocardiales; Pseudonocardiaceae
Also listed under: 1 other name
Rfam family: tRNA
About the family: Transfer RNA (tRNA) molecules are approximately 80 nucleotides in length. Their secondary structure includes four short double-helical elements and three loops (D, anti-codon, and T loops).
Source: Rfam by way of RNAcentral